Molecule: ribosomal RNA, 460 nt
Filed under: uncultured bacterium
Lineage: Bacteria
Description: partial 16S ribosomal RNA
Rfam family: Bacterial small subunit ribosomal RNA
Source: RNAcentral
CCUACGGGUGGCAGCAGUGAGGAAUAUUGGUCAAUGGGCGCGAGCCUGAACCAGCCAAGUAGCGUGAAGGAUGACUGCCCUAUGGGUUGUAAACUUCUUUUAUAGAGGAAUAAAACAUGGUACGUAUACCUUCUUGUAUGUACCUUAUGAAAAAGGAUAGGCUAAAUCCGUGCCAGCAGCCGCGGUAAUACGGAGGAUACGAGCGUUAUCCGGAUUUAUUGGGUUUAAAGGGAGCGUAGGUGGGUUGUUAAGUCAGUUGUGAAAGUUUGCGGCUCAACCGUAAAAUUGCAGUUGAUACUGGCAGUCUUGAGUGCAGUAGAGGUAGGCGGAAUUCGUGGUGUAGCGGUGAAAUGCUUAGAUAUCACGAAGAACUCCGAUUGCGAAGGCAGCUUACUGGACUGCAACUGACGCUGAUGCUCGAAAGUGUGGGUAUCAAACAGGAUUAGAUACCCCAGUAGUC